Molecule: unclassified non-coding RNA, 1413 nt
Filed under: Homalodisca vitripennis (glassy-winged sharpshooter)
Lineage: Eukaryota; Metazoa; Arthropoda; Insecta; Hemiptera; Cicadellidae
Description: probable E3 ubiquitin-protein ligase bre1, transcript variant X1
Source: RNAcentral
UACAAUUUAACCUUAAUCUUACAAUUUAACUGUUUGAAUUUAGGCCUAUAAUAGGAAAAUUGUUGUGAUAUAAAUUUAGUAUAAUGUGUGAAAAUUCAGAAGAAGAAAUAUUGGAAAUGCUAAAUAGCAUCUUUACAAAAUGUGAUAUCGAUGGUAACGGAUUUGUAGACAUAAACACACUUAUACAUUUCCUCACUUGUCAAGAUUCUACAUGGCAAAAAGAUAAAACUAUUGAAGAGGAAUUCCGCAAAGUUCUGUGUUGCAAUGGAUUAAACCAAAGAAUUUCCAAAGAUCAUUUCAUCACAUCAUUGCUAGGCUGUAUAAAAUUAAAAACCCAAUCAUUUGAAAAAAACCACUACAAUGAGAAUCCUAAUCAGGAAGUUUCUGCAGAACAAUCUCCAGAAAUUGUGUUUGCCAGUGUGACAAACAAUAUCAUCAAUUCUGAAGUUUGCUUUGUUGCAGAUGGUCAAACUUUGACUAAUGAGGAUGUAGCAGAAGAGAUAUCAGUGUCUGACUGCGAGAGUUCCCCUGUAAAUAAACAGUUUCUGAAAUCCUUACAGAAUGAAAUACUUGCAGUACAGCGGAAAAAUGAAUACUUGGAGGGUAUUAAUAAUUCUCUUGUAAGUCAGAUUUCAUCCUUGGAAGAUGUAAUCAUGAAGAACGAAAAGGAAUCUGCCUCUUAUUCACAUAAGUUGUUGGUCAGCCAACAGCUUUUGGAAAUGCAGAAACAAAAACAAGAAGAGAUUGAAGAAAAACUUUCUCUAUUUGUUGACAACAACAAAUCAGUCACCAUCCAGCUGUCUCAUGCUGAGAGAGAAAAUUCAAAGCUGAAAGAGUUGCUAUUAAACCUGGAAAAGCAGGCUGAUUUGAAAUUAUCUGAAAAGUUGUUUCAAGACACAAAACUCAAGGACAUCAAAGAGAAGUACAAUAUAUUAAAUGAUUUAUUCUCAAAGUCUCAAGAAGAGUUGGAAAGUUUGAAAAUGAAAGAUAAAACAGGGGAAGAGAUGUAUGAGCAACUGGUAGAACAGAAUACAAACCUUAGGUUGCAGUUAGAUUCAAGUGAUUGUCUUGUUCAGGACCUGAAAUCUCAGUUAGCUGCUACUUGCAAAGAAUUAUCUAAUUUACAUAACAAGAAAAUCAAAGCUAAGACACAGACCUCUACACCCUCUGAUAACCAAAGUGCUGACAAUUCAAUGAUUUUUUUUAGAUGAAAAUUUUACUCUUGAUAGUACAAUACCGUUUGAGAGAUCACUUCUGGCUGAGUUACAAGACAAGGAAAAUCAAAAGCCUUGCUCGUGUGAUUGUUUGAAAGACUUGCCUUUUACUACAAGCUCCCCUGUGUCUUCGGAGAAAUCUCACGUUACAAAAUCAGAAGUCGCAGUUGGCACAGAGGAGAAGACAGUCUCACACCAA